AUCCAUCUGACGAGUCCUAAACGGGACGAAACUCGCGUCCUAGAU
Molecule: non-coding RNA, 45 nt
Filed under: Schistosoma bovis
Lineage: Eukaryota; Metazoa; Platyhelminthes; Trematoda; Strigeidida; Schistosomatidae
Also listed under: 1 other name
Source: RNAcentral